UUGGAGGGCAAGUCUGGUGCCAGCAGCCGCGGUAAUUCCAGCUCCAAUAGCGUAUAUUAAAGUUGUUGCAGUUAAAAAGCUCGUAGUUGAAUUUCGGGAUCAAAUUGUUGGUCGUGCUUCAGUACGCACUGGCAUUAUUGGUUCUUACCUUCUGAAGAACCGCGAUGUCAUUAAUUUGGUGUCGUGGGGAAUCAGGGCUGUUACUUUGAAAAAAUUAGAGUGUUUAAAGCAGGCGCACGCUUGAAUACAUUAGCAUGGAAUAAUGAAAUAGGACGUUUGAUUCUAUUUUGUUGGUUCCUAGGAUCGACGUAAUGAUUAAUAGGGAUAGUUGGGGGCAUUAGUAUUCAAUUGUCAGAGGUGAAAUUCUUGGAUUUAUUGAAGACUAACUACUGCGAAAGCAUUUGCCAAGGAUGUUUUCAUUAAUCAAGAACGAAAGUUAGGGGAUCGAAGACGAUCAGAUACCGUCGUAGUCUUAACCAUAAACUAUGCCGACUAGGGAUCGGAUGAUGUUAAUUUUUUAAUGACUCAUUCGGCGCCUUACGGGAAACCAAAG
RNAcentral lists this ribosomal RNA (553 nucleotides) under uncultured Glomus. RNAcentral describes it as "SSU rRNA". It matches the Rfam family "Eukaryotic small subunit ribosomal RNA", at positions 548 to 1103 of the family's 1831-position model. Lineage: Eukaryota; Fungi; Glomeromycota; Glomeromycetes; Glomerales; Glomeraceae. The record is from RNAcentral.